RNAcentral lists this long non-coding RNA (1183 nucleotides) under Anas platyrhynchos platyrhynchos (common mallard). RNAcentral describes it as "lncRNA (ENSAPLG00000019009.1)". The record is from RNAcentral. Lineage: Eukaryota; Metazoa; Chordata; Aves; Anseriformes; Anatidae.
UUAAAACCCCCCAAAUACGAGCUCCUCCAGCCCAUUUUGGAAGGGUGCAAUGGGGGUGAGAUGCUCGCAGCCCCCCCUCACCCCAUAACCCCCCCAAAAAGGGGGAUGCAGCAGCCCCCAGCUCGCCCUUGGAGCCCCCCCCCCCCCCCAGGGUUCCCCCCCCCCAAAACCCCCCACCGGGGCAGGUUGCGGGGGGGCCCCUGCGAAGUAACCGGGGGGGGGGGGGGAAGGAAAAGGGGGGGCUGGAAAAAAAAUAAUUAAAAUAAUAAAAUAAAGGGGGGGGGGAAGGAAAGGGAGGGCGCAGGCUCUACCAUUUUGAUGCAAAGGUCUCCGCGCAAAGGAGUCCCGGUCCUCCUCCGCUUGCCUGGGGUUUGUGCUCUCCAUGAAAAAAAAGGAGCUGGUGGGUUGGGUGGGUUGCUGGCUUGGUGGCUUUUUUUUUUUUUUUUUUUUCCUUUUUCUUUUUUUUUCCUUUUCCUUUUUUUUUCUUUUUUCUUUUUUUUGCUGCCUUUUUUUUUAUUAUUAUUAUUAUUUUUUCUCUUCUUCCCCUUUCCGGAGGGAGGAGGGAAUCACCGCGCUGCCAGCCCUGCUCGCAUCCCCCUUCCCCUUAUCCCCUUUUUUUUUUCGGCUUUUUUUUUUUUCUCCCCUCCGCCUUUUUUUUUUCUCGCCCUUUUUGCUCUCCCCCCUUUUCCUCUCCUCUUCCUCUCCUCCCUCGCUCCUUCACCUCAUCCUGCCCAUCGCCAUGUUAGCCCCUUUUGGGAAGAACGGAGGAAUGCGGAGCGGCGGCGGCUCCGGCUGCCAAGAGCCCUUGGGCCGCUGAUUGGAGCCGCAGCAUCAGCUGGGGCCGCCGCUGCCCCCCCUUAAAGGGACAGGCCCCGGCCUCUACUCACCCCCCCCCGGGACCCCCCCCUAUUCCUGUCACCCCCCUCGACCCCCUAAGAUCCUCCCCUGACCCCCCUUUUUCCCCCCCUACCCCCGUGGGGGGACCCCACCGAGCAGCGCGAGCAUUGCGGAGGGGGAAACUGAGGCACCGUGGAGAGGUCUGGGCUUAAAAGAUUUUAAGAAAUAUAUAUAAAAAAAGAGGGUUUGGGGUUGCAAAAGGGUGAGUUGGGGAGGUGUGGGGGGUCAGCAAGCUCGGUUUUGUUUAAAAAAUAAAAAAAAAAAUAGGGGGAAAUGGGGGUGUGGA